This is a long non-coding RNA of Choloepus didactylus (southern two-toed sloth), 1105 nucleotides long. RefSeq lists it as uncharacterized. The transcript has 3 exons. The record is from RefSeq and is a predicted model, not a curated record. Lineage: Eukaryota; Metazoa; Chordata; Mammalia; Pilosa; Megalonychidae.
AGCUGGGCCUUCCCUCAAAUGACCCGUGCAUUUGGGUAAAACACACUUGUGAAGGAAUUAGUGGCAUUCAUUGAUGACUUUUGCCUGCUUUGGAAAAAUCAGGGUCUAGUGUUCUGGAACAAUUUUGUUUUCGAGCAGUAUCAAACAACUUUGGGGUUUCAAAUAAUUCAGCAGUUUGCAGCAAAGGGCUUGUUGACAGCUAUAUAAUUGUAUGACACCGACCAUGAUUUUUCCCCUCCUAAUAGCUGCGUCCUCUUUGUAACGGUGCCAACUUUGGCUACUUGUUAACAGAGAUACCAAUAAUGAACAAAGUUGGAAUUGUGUUGGUGAAAACCAAUGUUAAGCCCUGCUGGUCAAAAAUUCAGUCACAAAUUGUGUCUCACUUUCUACUGAAGGAGAUCCAAAUCAUUAAACCAAGAACAGUCUUGCCUUAUGUGUUGUUCCUGCUGGUUUUUGAGACCGUGUGUUUUCCAGGGGGCAAUUAAUUUGCUUCAUUUAUAAGAAAGAGAGUUUCUCAUCUACAUUACGGUCGACGUGUACCAGAGCCCUCUCGAUGCAAAGCAACUGGGCUAAGGGUCAAAGAAAAUGAACCAGAUUAAUUCCCCACUGUCAUUUGAUAAUCUAAAACCAGCAUGUGAGUUCCCUGAUCUUCCAGUGUUUCCGAACCUUUAUGCUUGUGAUCUGCAACAGGAAAUAUGGGAUGCUUCCCCAUUUCAGCAGUUCAUGUAAACUCUGUUACAUAGUCCUUCUGAUGUCAGGUUACAUAUGUAAUUUUUCACCAGCUCUUUACUAAUUUUCCAUCCUGAGCACACGGUAUCCUUUUUUAUAUCCCCAUAAGUAGGAGUGGGUGAACAUGGGAAGCGCUAACAAGAUCGGCCACAGACCAUUCGAGGAAAGCCAACAGAAUCACACCCAAGGGCAUGUACCCAUAAGCGGAAUUGCUGGAUUGUAAGGUGUUUCUGUGGUUAAGUUUUUGAAGAACCGCCAGACUGGUUUGCCCAGCAGCUGUAGCUGCUUCAUUUUACAUUCCCACCAGCAGUGUGUGAGGGUCCUUGGUGUUGGCGUAUGGCUCCUGAGAGUUUCGAGUGGGUCCCUCUUCCAGGCC